GUGCGACAGGUGUCUGUGCGCGCCCCGAGGAGUUUCUCUGCUUUUCAUCCAUCUUGAUGGGAGGAGGGCGAGAGAGAGAGAGAGAGAAGUGGGGGUGGGGGGUGGGGGUGAAGAAGUAUAAAAGCUUAUUCCUGUUCCUGACAAGAGUUCAGUGCGCGCACAAGGUGAGGCCAAACAAAGCCGUGCGCUUCCAUCACGCUCUUCCUUUUUUUCCUCUUCUCCUUUUUGAAAGGUCCGGCGCGGCGCGCAAAAGACGCGCCAGCUGUUGGGAGAGCAACCGUGCUGCAACUUGUGCGCAAUUUGGAGCGCAAGACUUUUGCCACGCUCGUCCGUAUUUGCUUCACGUUGAGCCCCACGUACAAUACCUGAAGGUGACGUUUUGUUCGUUCGGCUCGCGUUACGCAGGUACGGGUUGACGACUGGAAACGUCAAGUUUGAGUGUUUGCUGCGCCUCAGUGAUGUGGGAGUCCACCCCCCCAUCCCUUCAGAAUAAACCCUCACUUCAAUUUAAGAGCUGCAAAACAAGCUGUUGCGUUAACCUCAGGAGAAGUUGAUGGUAAUUUUUGCAUGAAGCCCAACGAUAACAGCUGUCAAACUUGUUCUACUUAGUGUGCGAGCACAGAAGAAUGCCAGCCAAUUUGAAUGUGUACACAUUUGACAAGGUUCAAAUAAAGAAAAGGAAAACUAGAAAUGUAUUUUAUUGACAGAAGGUGUCUACUGGGUCUUUAUUUUGUUGGGGGGGGGCUCAUAAAGGCAGGUGGACCGGUGGAGAGCGUGUCUGCCUCUCAGGCGAGAGGUUCUGCAUUUGAAUCUCAUUUGGAUGUCCCCACUUAUGUUUUUUUUCAUUUAUUUAUUUUUUAAAUGAUGUAUUCUCUGGAUUUCUUCGCAAAAUAUGCAUGCUAGUUUCAAUGAAGACUCAAUAUGGUCCAUAGGUGUGAAUGUGAGUGUGACCACAACCAGUCCAGGGUGUACGCCACGCCACCAGCCCAAAGUCAGCUGGGAUCGGCUCCGGUUCUCAUGUGAGGACAAGCACGAUUGAAAAUGUGGAUGGAAGUUU
Hippocampus comes (tiger tail seahorse) is the source of this 1057-nucleotide long non-coding RNA. RefSeq lists it as uncharacterized. The record is from RefSeq and is a predicted model, not a curated record. The transcript is spliced from 2 exons. Lineage: Eukaryota; Metazoa; Chordata; Actinopteri; Syngnathiformes; Syngnathidae.